RNAcentral lists this transfer RNA (65 nucleotides) under Coleoptera sp. 1 KM-2017. RNAcentral describes it as "tRNA-His". The record is from RNAcentral. Lineage: Eukaryota; Metazoa; Arthropoda; Insecta; Coleoptera.
AUUUAAAUAGUUUAAUAAAAAAUUUUGAUUUGUGGAGUCAAGGAUGUAAGUAUUUACUUUAGGUA